CCAGUAAGUACCUCACUGCACAGAAUGAAGACAUAAGGCGAUAGGGGGUCUCCUUGGCGAAUGCCUCUCUGGGGUGUGACUAAGCCCAGCGCUUGUCCAUUAAUCAGUGCAGGGUUUCAUGUGUGAUAAGCACAUUGUCUGAUAUAGCUCUUUGGGGGACGAAGGCUGAUUGAUUCUCAGAUAUGCACGACGAGAGGAUUGGUUGCAGUCUUUUGGUUUCCAGUGAUGAAGAAAGAUUGGACCUCGGCAACUAUUUCAUCACUCACUGUACUCCAGUUUGAUUGGAAAAAACAAGCUGAGAAGC
Non-coding RNA from Camelina sativa (false flax), 304 nucleotides. The record is from RefSeq and is a predicted model, not a curated record. NCBI's taxonomy places the organism in Eukaryota, Viridiplantae, Streptophyta, Magnoliopsida, Brassicales, Brassicaceae.